AUCUUGAAUAUAGUUCCCUCUACUAUACAUGAACUAGCUGGGACAAAUUCUCUUGCCGAAAGUGGAGCUGCAAAGGCACAAGAGAGCAAGUGGAAAUGCACAGGUGCUUUUCCAGCCCCUGCUUGUUCAUGUCUGUUAACGUUCCAUUGGCCAAGGGACAUCUCUUCUCCACAUGGAAUGAGUAAGGUGAAGAGGAAUAGGAGAAUGAAUGCAACUUGGUAAGGGAAGAUGGAAACCCAAGAUGAAAUGAUGAUAGAAUGUGGAAGAAUCCAGAGCUGCUCCAAAGUCACUCAUCCAAGAGCUCUGAGAAUGCCCAUGUACAGAGAGUAUUUCAUCAUUGGUUAGACAUUUAUGAGGUUUUUCAUGGUGUUCUUUUGGACAAGAUUGGGAAAUAUGAACUGGACUCUGGCAUACUUGAUGAAUUAGUAACCAGUUGAUUAUAUGCACAAGGUGCUGACUAACACAUUGAUAUCAAACUGUGAGGUAUAUAAUGAUGAGUAAGGAAGUAUAUAAGGAAGCAUAUAAUGAUGAGUCCUAGGGCUGUGUCCAUUUUUCCAUCAUAAAUGCUUUCAGAAUAGAAAUACAUAAGGUGUGCUCAUUAAAUUUAUAGGUAACCUGAAGUUGGAGAUAUAAUGAAUACUUACUUGGAUGACAGAAUCAGAAUCAGUGAGCUGAAUCUAAAAGGAUGAGAUUUGAAAAUUAUUAAUAGGAGGUGUGAGGAACUAAUUAUAUCAGUAAGAAUGGGUUAUACUUGCUUUAGCAGAAACUAAGAACCUUGGCCCAAUUUGAACCAGAAGUGUAAUGUGGUUGCCAAAAACCCUCAAGAUUUUAGGCUGUAUCCAAUGGGAUAGUGGUAAAAUGUUUAAAAAUUGGCUCUCUGCAGGGAAAAAAACCCUUAAUGUAUAGCACUUUACAAUUUCUAUUGUGUAAAUGCUCCCACCAUGGCCAAUUUCAAGCUACCAACAUGAUGUCACUAAACAUAAUUUGGAAAAGAUUUGCAGUGGCACAACAGCACAUAGCAGUAUUUCCAUCACACAAAUACAAUUAAUGUAAAUAACCUUAAGAGAGUAGAUAAUAGAGAUAUAUAGUAAAAUAAUUAG
Molecule: long non-coding RNA, 1100 nt
Organism: Phacochoerus africanus (Common warthog)
Lineage: Eukaryota; Metazoa; Chordata; Mammalia; Artiodactyla; Suidae
Exons: 4
Source: RefSeq, a predicted model, not a curated record